RNAcentral lists this ribosomal RNA (1220 nucleotides) under human gut metagenome. RNAcentral describes it as "bacterial LSU rRNA". It matches the Rfam family "Bacterial large subunit ribosomal RNA", at positions 1699 to 2925 of the family's 2925-position model. The record is from RNAcentral.
CUCUCGUUAAGGAACUCGGCAAAAUGACCCCGUAACUUCGGGAGAAGGGGUGCUGGUAGCAAUACCAGCCGCAGUGAAUAGGCCCAGGCGACUGUUUAUCAAAAACACAGGUCUCUGCAAAAUCGAAAGAUGACGUAUAGGGGCUGACGCCUGCCCGGUGCUGGAAGGUUAAGAGGAGAGGUUAGCCGCAAGGCGAAGCUUUGAAUUGAAGCCCCAGUAAACGGCGGCCGUAACUAUAACGGUCCUAAGGUAGCGAAAUUCCUUGUCGGGUAAGUUCCGACCCGCACGAAAGGCGUAACGAUUUGGGCACUGUCUCAACGAUGGACUCGGUGAAAUCAUAGUACCUGUGAAGAUGCAGGUUACCCGCGACAGGACGGAAAGACCCCAUGGAGCUUUACUGUAGUUUGAUAUUGAGUGUUUGUGUCACAUGUACAGGAUAGGUAGGAGCUGAAGAAUCCGGGACGCCAGUUUCGGAGGAGGCAACGGUGGGAUACUACCCUUGUGACAUGACCACUCUAACCCGCACCCCUCACCGGGGUGGGAGACAGUGUCAGACGGGCAGUUUGACUGGGGCGGUCGCCUCCUAAAGUGUAACGGAGGCGCCCAAAGGUUCCCUCAGAAUGGUUGGAAAUCAUUCGUAGAGUGUAAAGGCAGAAGGGAGCUUGACUGCGAGACCAACAAGUCGAGCAGGGACGAAAGUCGGGCUUAGUGAUCCGGUGGUACCGUAUGGAAGGGCCAUCGCUCAACGGAUAAAAGCUACCCUGGGGAUAACAGGCUUAUCUCCCCCAAGAGUUCACAUCGACGGGGAGGUUUGGCACCUCGAUGUCGGCUCAUCGCAUCCUGGGGCUGUAGUCGGUCCCAAGGGUUGGGCUGUUCGCCCAUUAAAGCGGUACGCGAGCUGGGUUCAGAACGUCGUGAGACAGUUCGGUCCCUAUCCGUCGCGGGCGUUGGAAAUUUGAGAGGAGCUGUCCUUAGUACGAGAGGACCGGGAUGGACACACCGCUGGUGUACCAGUUGUUCUGCCAAGAGCAUCGCUGGGUAGCUAUGUGUGGACGGGAUAAACGCUGAAAGCAUCUAAGCGUGAAGCCCCCCUCGAGAUGAGAUUUCCCAUCAUUUUAAAUGAGUAAGACCCCUGAGAGACGAUCAGGUAGAUAGGCUAGAAGUGGAAGUGCCGCGAGGCAUGGAGCGGACUAGUACUAAUCGGUCGAGGACUUAACCAC